UGCCUUCUCCAGGUGUGUGUGAAAACAGGAACUGAGACAAACUCAGAAUUUACUUCACUUGAAGAGAUACUGGAUUAUGCCUUGGGCUACUCAGACCCUUUUCAAGUUUUGAGCCUCAGCAGACAGCUGGAAGAGGAUCAGGGAGGCCCUUCCACUGCAAACCUCAAAUCUUCUCCUGACAUUUAGUACUGCAGCCCAAAGCAGAGCCUGGCUUUUCCCUGUGGGAUUGGCUGGCAAACACUGUGCAGUACAACCAUCUCCAGGAAACAGCAGAUGACUCACAUGUUCACUUCCAGUCUGGUACAGACACUGUCAAAGCAAAUUUGUGUUGCUGGAUACUGAGCAGCAGGUGGUGUGCAAGGAAUAGAGAUUUUUGUUUUAUUUUUUAUUUAAGUUUGAAUCUGUUCUAAUUGUGUCUCUGAACUACAAUAAGGCUGUAGAGGCAGUGUAUUUUGAUGUCCAGUGUACCUUUUAAAACUCAAAAGCCAGCAGUACUGUUUUAAUGCAUUUCUGUUUAACAUUGUAGGGUUUUUUUUUGUUUUGUUUUCUACCCAUACUAAUAAUCUGAAAGAUAUUACACUGAAUAAUUUACUUUAUCAACCCAUUAGCAGCUACAGAAGAGAACUCCAACAAAAUGAACGUUCCUCAAUUAAAAGUCAACCCCCCAAAAGGUAAAUAUAAAUGCUAGAAAUCUGCUGCUGUACAGACUGAAGAGACUAGACUGCACACAAAUAAUAUGUAAAAUAUUACUAGGAGGAGUGGCCAUUUAUAGGCUUGAGUGCCACUCACACAAAGAGAUGGAUUUCACUACCAAUUUAUGUAACAACAAUGGGACCAGUUCUCUGCCUCAGUUUAUACAUGUGUACAAUCUGACAAAUUGCACAGCCCAGAUUUACUUGACUUCAACCCCAAAUAUCCUUUGCUUUCCCAUGGAUGAUCAUUCUCAACAUUUCAGAUUCUAAGCAAUUCCUAUGGGCAGAGAUUCUCAAAAGCUAAAUUUGAGGCAACGUCUUAUGAUAAAGCACUGUCACAGCCACUCUGAACAGCCAAGCCUCUCCCACUGUUCACAGUGCUUUUGGUUUUCCUCUGCUCGCACUCAAAACUGACAACUUCACCUAUUCCAUAUUCACAGGCUUUUACCAAGACUACCAGACCUGUCCUCAGGUAGAAUCAUCAGUAAUACAAACCUGGCUGGCCACUAGCCAUUAAAAAACCUGUUCCCAUUCAUUUAUAAGACUUUGUUGCCUUAUCCCUGCUUCCCCCUAGAUUCCACAUAUGUAAAACUCAGCCACUGUUGAGCACCUUCCUGUGUUUGUGAUCAGUAUUGUAUUUUCUACAGUGAUGCAAGAGGCUGGAACAGUGUGAAGCUUUUUUUUUAGAAAUAAACAAACACCCAAUUUC
Pipra filicauda (Wire-tailed manakin) is the source of this 1401-nucleotide long non-coding RNA. RefSeq lists it as uncharacterized. The transcript has 2 exons. The record is from RefSeq and is a predicted model, not a curated record. NCBI's taxonomy places the organism in Eukaryota, Metazoa, Chordata, Aves, Passeriformes, Pipridae.